Molecule: ribosomal RNA, 212 nt
Filed under: uncultured bacterium
Lineage: Bacteria
Description: partial 16S ribosomal RNA
Rfam family: Bacterial small subunit ribosomal RNA
Source: RNAcentral
CAGUUCGGACUGUAGGCUGCAACUCGCCUACACGAAGUUGGAAUUGCUAGUAAUCGUGGAUCAGCAUGCCACGGUGAAUACGUUCCCGGGUCUUGUACACACCGCCCGUCACACCAUGGGAGCUGGUAACACCCGAAGUCCGUAGCCUAACCGCAAGGAGGGCGCGGCCGAAGGUGGGUUCGAUAAUUGGGGUGAAGUCGUAACAAGGUAAC